Molecule: ribosomal RNA, 656 nt
Filed under: Salmonella enterica subsp. enterica serovar Berta
Lineage: Bacteria; Pseudomonadati; Pseudomonadota; Gammaproteobacteria; Enterobacterales; Enterobacteriaceae
Also listed under: 2 other names
Description: partial 23S ribosomal RNA
Rfam family: Bacterial large subunit ribosomal RNA
Source: RNAcentral
GGGUUGUGAGGUUAAGCGACUAAGCGUACACGGUGGAUGCCCUGGCAGUCAGAGGCGAUGAAGGGCGUGCUAAUCUGCGAUAAGCGCCGGUAAGGUGAUAUGAACCGUUAUAACCGGCGAUACCCGAAUGGGGAAACCCAGUGUGAUUCGUCACACUAUCAUUAACUGAAUCCAUAGGUUAAUGAGGCGAACCGGGGGAACUGAAACAUCUAAGUACCCCGAGGAAAAGAAAUCAACCGAGAUUCCCCCAGUAGCGGCGAGCGAACGGGGAGGAGCCCAGAGCCUGAAUCAGCAUGUGUGUUAGUGGAAGCGUCUGGAAAGGCGCGCGAUACAGGGUGACAGCCCCGUACACAAAAGCGCAUGUGCUGUGAGCUCGAUGAGUAGGGCGGGACACGUGGUAUCCUGUCUGAAUAUGGGGGGACCAUCCUCCAAGGCUAAAUACUCCUGACUGACCGAUAGUGAACCAGUACCGUGAGGGAAAGGCGAAAAGAACCCCGGCGAGGGGAGUGAAAAAGAACCUGAAACCGUGUACGUACAAGCAGUGGGAGCACAGGUUUACCUGUGUGACUGCGUACCUUUUGUAUAAUGGGUCAGCGACUUAUAUUCUGUAGCAAGGUUAACCGUAUAGGGGAGCCGGAGGGAAACCGAGUCUUAAU